This 343-nucleotide ribosomal RNA is filed under the name uncultured archaeon. RNAcentral's name for it is "bacterial SSU rRNA". It matches the Rfam family "Archaeal small subunit ribosomal RNA", at positions 400 to 741 of the family's 1478-position model. The record is from RNAcentral.
AUGUUGGCUGUCCGCAUGUAUAAAUAGCAUGUGUUAGCAAGGGCCGGGCAAGACCGGUGCCAGCCGCCGCGGUAACACCGGCGGCCCGAGUGGUGGCCACUAUUAUUGGGUCUAAAGGGUCCGUAGCCGGUUCGAUCAGUCUUCCGGGAAAUCUGACAGCUCAACUGUUAGGCUUCCGGGGGAUACUGUCGGACUUGGGACCGGGAGAGGUAAGAGGUACUACAGGGGUAGGAGUGAAAUCUUGUAAUCCUUGUGGGACCACCAGUGGCGAAGGCGUCUUACCAGAACGGAUCCGACGGUGAGGGACGAAAGCUAGGGGCACGAACCGGAUUAGAUACCCGGG